UGUAAGCGUAUACCAAAGUUGUUGCAGUUAAAACGCUCGUAGUCGAAUUUUGGUGUGAGUUAUGGAGACUCCUACUGGAUGUUGAAGUAACUUCGCCUUUGUGGAGGGGGGUGUGGUGGUACUUUAUUGUAUUGCUGCAUUUCCGCCACUGUUUACUGUGAAAAAAUUAGAGUGUUCAAAGCGAGCGUUUGCCAUGAAUACAUUAGCAUGGAAUAAUAGAAUAGGACCUGGUUCUGUUUUAUUGGUUUGUCUGUAUCAGGCAAUGAUUAACAGGGACGGUCGGGGGUAUUUGUAUUCCAGCGUUAGAGGUGAAAUUCUUGGAUCGCUGGAAGACAGACAGCUGCGAAAGCGUCUACCAAGGACGUUUUCAUUG
This 373-nucleotide ribosomal RNA is filed under the name uncultured eukaryote. RNAcentral's name for it is "partial 18S ribosomal RNA". It matches the Rfam family "Eukaryotic small subunit ribosomal RNA", at positions 592 to 975 of the family's 1831-position model. The record is from RNAcentral.